RNAcentral lists this ribosomal RNA (295 nucleotides) under uncultured bacterium. Its description in RNAcentral is "partial 16S ribosomal RNA". It matches the Rfam family "Bacterial small subunit ribosomal RNA", at positions 335 to 620 of the family's 1533-position model. The record is from RNAcentral.
ACUCCUACGGGAGGCAGCAGUGGGGAAUAUUGCACAAUGGGCGCAAGCCUGAUGCAGCCAUGCCGCGUGUAUGAAGAAGGCCUUCGGGUUGUAAAGUACUUUCAGCAGUGAGGAAGGUGGGGUAUGUAGUAGUANAUACACAUUUUGACGUUAGCUGCAGAAGAAGCACCGGCUAACUCCGUGCCAGCAGCCGCGGUAAUACGGAGGGUGCGAGCGUUAAUCGGAAUUACUGGGCGUAAAGCGCAUGCAGGUGGUUUGUUAAGUCAGAUGUGAAAGCCCGGGGCCAACCUCGGAA